This 676-nucleotide ribosomal RNA is filed under the name Providencia rettgeri. Its description in RNAcentral is "partial 23S ribosomal RNA". It matches the Rfam family "Bacterial large subunit ribosomal RNA", at positions 1223 to 1883 of the family's 2925-position model. The record is from RNAcentral. Lineage: Bacteria; Pseudomonadati; Pseudomonadota; Gammaproteobacteria; Enterobacterales; Morganellaceae.
GUUGGGUAGGGGAGCGUUCUGUAAGCCUGUGAAGGUGUACUGUGAGGUAUGCUGGAGGUAUCAGAAGUGCGAAUGCUGACAUAAGUAACGAUAAUGCGGGUGAAAAACCCGCACGCCGGAAGACCAAGGGUUCCUGUCCAACGUUAAUCGGGGCAGGGUGAGUCGACCCCUAAGGCGAGGCAGAAAUGCGUAGUCGAUGGGAAACGGGUUAAUAUUCCCGUACUGGUGAUAAUUGCGAUGGGGGGACGGAGAAGGCUAGGCUAUCCGGGCGACGGUUGUCCCGGUUUAAGGAUGUAGGCAGGUGAAUUAGGCAAAUCCGGUUCACUACAUGCUGAGGUCCGAUGACGAGUCACUACGGUGAUGAAGUAGCUCAUGCCCCGCUUCCAGGAAAAGCCUCUAAGCUCUAGAUUAUCAUUAAUCGUACCCCAAACCGACACAGGUGGUCAGGUAGAGAAUACUCAGGCGCUUGAGAGAACUCGGGUGAAGGAACUAGGCAAAAUGGUGCCGUAACUUCGGGAGAAGGCACGCUGGCGCUAGGUGAAGUCCCUCGCGGAUGGAGCUGAAGCCAGUCGCAGAUACCAGCUGGCUGCAACUGUUUAUUAAAAACACAGCACUGUGCAAACACGAAAGUGGACGUAUACGGUGUGACGCCUGCCCGGUGCUGGAAGGUUAAUUG